This is a long non-coding RNA of Oxyura jamaicensis (ruddy duck), 1159 nucleotides long. RefSeq lists it as uncharacterized. Lineage: Eukaryota; Metazoa; Chordata; Aves; Anseriformes; Anatidae. The record is from RefSeq and is a predicted model, not a curated record. The transcript is spliced from 4 exons.
GAAUUAUUUAUUUCCAAGAGAACAUAAAUCACCUGGUGCCACUGAGAGACAGACAGAGGAAAAUAUACUUCCAGUUUUGUCCAGAAGGAAGCAGCUGGGACAGCAUUGCAAGAAGUCUUCCUUCCAAAGUGUGCAAAGCUUUCAAUGAGUUGAGAAAUGAGAAUAACAGAACUACUGAAAUCCCAGCAUCAGAAAUCCAAUGUUUUAAUCUCACAUGAAACAAAUGCUGUGCCUCUAACCCUUGAAGAGGUAGCUCUGAAGCAUCCAGUGCUGGAAGCAAAAUAAAGAGUUACAAAUUACACUGCUAAAGAAGAAAUCUUCCAAACUGGAAAAGAAUGUUGAAGCUAGAAAAUGUCUUUUUAAAAUUUCUCUAAAAGCUACAUCAGGUGACAAGCUGGGGGGAAAAAUGCUGUUUACAACAGACAUGCAAGAUUUCAAAAGGGAUUAGUAGAGACACAUUUUGUUGAAGUCACCUAAAAUCAAGAACAAAGGUUGUAAGAUUUUAAAAUGGUAUAUUUCUGCACUUAACUGCUAAUAAAAGUGGCUACUAAUUGUUAGGCCCAAGAGUUAUAUGGGAGGGACCAUUAACAUGUUGUUCUGUUUUUGAAGUAUCUGGCUGCAUUAACAUAGGGCAUUGUAGUGCAGAUUACAUUGAAAUGCUGACUACUCUGUGGUAAUAUUGCUAGGAGGAAAACAUUCAAUCCUACAGUAAAGGAUUAAUAUUAGCUAAUUUAGAAAAGGGAAGUAUGUUUUUGAUAUUUUAUAUGUUCUUCCUCACAAUGAAAGAUAUUUAUUUCCCAUGAAUAUUUGGCAUUUCUGGCUUCCACAAGUUUUUAACUUAAAACAGUUACAAAGAGUACAAGAGCUUUGACAUUAAAGCCAGCUUCUUCCUGAUAAACCUCUUGUACCUCAGGAGAACUGGAGUAGGAAACAUCACAGAUUUAAGCUUCAGUUUUACAGGAAACUCAGAUUGCUGAGGAUGAGGUUAGUUUUCUUUGCAGCAGCCAGCCUUGUCUAAGAGAAACCGGUACUUGUGGACUGCUAAAAAACCAUUCAUUUAGAUCAACAUGACAAAAUCAGUCCAAGUCAGUACCAAGUCCUCUACCAUUACCACACUAGAUUUUCAGAUGUACAUUUUCAUAACUGCUAGUUUUUGUCC